ACAGAGAUGGGUAGAUACACACAUUACAACCUAACACAGAGAUAGGUAGGUACACACAUUAUACACACAUUAUACACACAUUACAACCUAACACAGAGAUAGGUAGGUACACACGUUAUACACACAAUAUACACACAUUACAACCUAACACAGAGAUAGGUAGGUACACACAUUACAACCUAACACAGAGAUAGGUAGGUACACACAUUAUACACACAUUACAACCUAACACAGAGAUGGGUAGGUACACACAUUACAACCUAACACAGAGAUAGGUAGGUACACACAUUACAACCUAACACAGAGAUAGGUAGGUACACACAUUACAACCUAACACAGAGAUAGGUAGGUACACACAUUACACACACAUUACAACCUAACACAGAUAGGUAGGUACACACAUUAUACACACAGACCUUACACACACACACA
This is a non-coding RNA of Oncorhynchus mykiss (rainbow trout), 432 nucleotides long. The record is from RefSeq and is a predicted model, not a curated record. NCBI's taxonomy places the organism in Eukaryota, Metazoa, Chordata, Actinopteri, Salmoniformes, Salmonidae.